RNAcentral lists this ribosomal RNA (301 nucleotides) under uncultured bacterium. RNAcentral describes it as "partial 16S ribosomal RNA". It matches the Rfam family "Bacterial small subunit ribosomal RNA", at positions 509 to 807 of the family's 1533-position model. The record is from RNAcentral.
CAGUCGCCGCGGUAAUACGGAGGGUGCAAGCGUUAAUCGGAAUUACUGGGCGUAAAGCGUGCGCAGGCGGCUUGUUAAGACAGAUGUGAAAUCCCCGGGCUCAACCUGGGAACUGCAUUUGUGACUGGCAAGCUAGAGUCUGGCAGAGGGGGGUGGAAUUCCGCGUGUAGCAGUGAAAUGCGUAGAUAUGCGGAGGAACACCGAUGGCGAAGGCAGCCCCCUGGGCCAACACUGACGCUCAUGCACGAAAGCGUGGGGAGCAAACAGGAUUAGAUACCCGCGUAGUCCCUGUCUCUUAUAC